AGUUGACUAAAUUGUUAGUUUAAAGAAGAUUGUGAGUGUCAGCACAUAAAAAGGUAAUCCUGUCUCAAUUGUAGCUACAGAUUGCAAGUCCUGUGUCAAUUCAAAUUUUUGCCAACAGAUACUAAUUACUUCACUGAAAGCAGAUGUUUAGAAAUGAAAGUGUAAACACAACCCCGGUUGAUUAAUAUGCUUAUUGUAUUUCCUUGUUGUAAGUCUAGUGAAUAUUUGAUUAUCUUUAAAUUGAUCCAUAGUAUAUUCAAUAGUCUCAUGAGAACAUAAUUUUUGUUGAUGAUUUGUCCAAAGUUUCCAUCAAUCCAUCCUAGCAGCAGAGCCAAGUGUUAGAGUUAUUGCUGCCUGAGUUAUAACAGCUGCCCUGGGAAUCUUGUCUGAACAACAAGUUAACUGCUGUUCCCAGUUAUAUCUGGUCUUUCCCACCCCCAAACAUACACAAAAGAUUUUUGUCAUUCUUGGCAUUGGACAGCAGAAGUGGUAAGACAUGCCAGCAGAACUCUAAAGGCAGAAUGUCCUUCCACCUGUUUUAUGCUGUAAGACAAACUUCCAAGUGCGAGGCAGUGUGGAGGACUGUUUCCUUGAAUGGCAACUGAAUGCACCAGCGGGAUCCUUGGCAGCAAUGCCCAGGCACUGAAGCCGGGCAUUCAGGAGAGCUAAAUGGAGAAAAAAAACUUGAGCAAACUGCUUCCUGGAACACUGAGAACCUGAAUGGGAAAUUAAGAAGAACCAGAUUCUUUCUAUUCUUCCACCAGCCAAGGUGGUGAUCAUAAAAGGAUCCAUCUUAUACAGUGCUUGCCAUCUUCCACAAUACUACUCACCACAAUGCUGAAAUCACCUGUUCCAGAACCAAUCCUGUCCUUUGACAAGAAGAAUUUAAUUAUCAGUUCUGGUGGGGACCGGCUGGAGAGGGAAAACACUUCAAGGACUCUGCCACCAUUCCCAGAUGGAGAGUGCAGAGUUUGUACCAUGGAACUCCUUCUCUAACAGUUACUCUGUGGCAGUGCCUAUUUUGAACCUCCCUUAACUUCUGAUUGUAUAGAUGUUUGUUUCAUUUGUUCAUCUGUUUGUUCACUUAAUCAGAGCUGUCUUAAGCCUUAAGAGAGAUAGUGGACUAGAAAGUGCCUUGGAAAGGUACAAAGCUCAAUCCAAGUAACAUAACUUGAAUAUCAAAGAUGUAUUUACUAUAGGUUACCAGUUCCGCUCUUGUUUGUUUGUUUGUUUUUAAACUAGGAACUUAUGAAGCCUAAAAUAUAAAAUGCAUAUACAUGGAUAUGCUCUGAAGUGAGGUAGAGGGGUAGAAAUCAACAUUGUGAUACUGUACUAUAGCUUUGCAAGAUGUUACCACUGGGGGAAAAUGCUUGAAGCACACACAGGAUAUCUCUGUCUUAUUUCUUACAACUGCAUGUGAAUCUACAGUUAUCUCAAAAUAAAAAUUUAAUUAACAGUUAA
Molecule: non-coding RNA, 1461 nt
Organism: Macaca mulatta (Rhesus monkey)
Lineage: Eukaryota; Metazoa; Chordata; Mammalia; Primates; Cercopithecidae
Source: RefSeq, a predicted model, not a curated record